UGCGCGACUUGAUCAUAGGUUUUUUAUUAUUCAUGCUAAAAUCAGUUUAUAUCAAUUUUAGCAUAUGAACUAUAUCCAUAGGUAUUUUCAUAUGAUUAAUGCAUGCUUAGAUUAAAUUAUUUUAAUCUAAUUUUUACUGUAUUUUAGAUUUAAAAAAUUAUUUUAAAAUUCACAUGCACUAGCACCUGUAGAAAUCUAACAGUAGUAUCAAAGUCACAUGUCACAUAUAUGAAAGUAGUAUAAAAAUUUUGAAAAUUAUUUUUAAAAAUUUUGAUUUUAAUUCAUACAUGAGAUGUAUGUUUUUAUGUUCAGAUCUGAAAGGUAUC
RNAcentral lists this long non-coding RNA (326 nucleotides) under Elaeis guineensis (African oil palm). RNAcentral's name for it is "long non-coding RNA (EGUI_LNC049885)". Lineage: Eukaryota; Viridiplantae; Streptophyta; Magnoliopsida; Arecales; Arecaceae. The record is from RNAcentral.